AGGUCUGUGAGGAGGGGAGGUCUGUUGAAGGACUGUGAGGAGGGGAGGUCUGUUGAAGGACUGUGAGGAGGGGAGGUCUGUUGAAGGACUGUGAGGAGGGGAGGACUGUUGAAGGACUGUGAGGAGGGGAGGUCUGUUGAAGGACUGUGAGGAGUGGAGGACUGUUGAAGGACUGUGAGGAGGGGAGGUCUGUUGAAGGACUGUGAGGAGGGGAGGAGGGGAGGUCUGUUGAAGGACUGUGAGGAGGGGAGGUCUGUUGAAGGACUGUGAGGAGUGGAGGACUGUUGAAGGACUGUGAGGAGUGGAGGUCUGUGAGGAGGGGAGGUCUGUUGAAGGACUGUGAGGAGUGGAGGACUGUUGAAGGACUGUGAGGAGGGGAGGUCUGUUGAAGGACUGUGAGGAGGGGAGGUCUGUGAGGAGGGGAGGUCUGUUGAAGGACUGUGAGGAGGGGAGGACUGUUGAAGGGCUGUGAGGAGGGGAGGUCUGUUGAAGGACUGUGAGGAGGGGAGGUCU
This 513-nucleotide long non-coding RNA is filed under the name Salmo salar (Atlantic salmon). RNAcentral's name for it is "lncRNA (ENSSSAG00000102291.1)". The record is from RNAcentral. Lineage: Eukaryota; Metazoa; Chordata; Actinopteri; Salmoniformes; Salmonidae.